Molecule: ribosomal RNA, 254 nt
Filed under: uncultured bacterium
Lineage: Bacteria
Description: partial 16S ribosomal RNA
Rfam family: Bacterial small subunit ribosomal RNA
Source: RNAcentral
UACGGGGGGGGGCAAGCGUUGUUCGGAAUUACUGGGCGUAAAGGGCUCGUAGGUGGCCAACUAAGUCAGACGUGAAAUCCCUCGGCUUAACCGGGGAACUGCGUCUGAUACUGGAUGGCUUGAGUUUGGGAGAGGGACGCGGAAUUCCAGGUGUAGCGGUGAAAUGCGUAGAUAUCAUGAGGAAUACCAGAGGCGAAGGCGGCUACCUGGACAAUUGCUGACGCUCAGGCACGAAAGCGUGGGGAGCAAAAGGG